GUGGAUGUAGCUCAGUGGCAGAGCACAUGCUUAGCUUGCAUGAGGUCUUGGCUUCAAUCCCCAGUACUUACA
RNAcentral lists this transfer RNA (72 nucleotides) under Camelus bactrianus (Bactrian camel). It matches the Rfam family "tRNA". Rfam says of the family: Transfer RNA (tRNA) molecules are approximately 80 nucleotides in length. Their secondary structure includes four short double-helical elements and three loops (D, anti-codon, and T loops). Further hydrogen bonds mediate the characteristic L-shaped molecular structure. tRNAs have two regions of fundamental functional importance: the anti-codon, which is responsible for specific mRNA codon recognition, and the 3' end, to which the tRNAs corresponding amino acid is attached (by aminoacyl-tRNA synthetases). tRNAs cope with the degeneracy of the genetic code in two manners: having more than one tRNA (with a specific anti-codon) for a particular amino acid; and 'wobble' base-pairing, i.e. permitting non-standard base-pairing at the 3rd anti-codon position. Lineage: Eukaryota; Metazoa; Chordata; Mammalia; Artiodactyla; Camelidae. RNAcentral also lists the same sequence under 1 other name. The record is from Rfam by way of RNAcentral.